GUGUCAGCAGCCGCGGUAAUACGUAGGUGGCAAGCGUUAUCCGGAUUUAUUGGGCGUAAAGCGUCCGCAGCCGGUUUAUUAAGUGUAGAAUUAAAGCCCGAGGCUCAACCUCGGAUCGUUCUACAAACUGAUAGGCUAGAGUGUGGUAGAGGCAAGUGGAAUUUCUAGUGUAGCGGUAGAAUGCGUAGAUAUUAGAAGGAACACCGGUGGCGAAGGCGACUUGCUAGGCCACCACUGACGGUCAGGGACGAAAGCGUGGGGAGCAAAUAGGAUUAGAUACCCUAGUAGUCCACGCUGUAAACGAUGAGUACUAAGUGUCGGGUAACCGGUGCUGAAGUUAACACAUUAAGUACUCCGCCUGAGUAGUACGUUCGCAAGAAUGAAACUUAAAUGAAUUGACGG
Molecule: ribosomal RNA, 402 nt
Filed under: uncultured bacterium
Lineage: Bacteria
Description: bacterial SSU rRNA
Rfam family: Bacterial small subunit ribosomal RNA
Source: RNAcentral